CCUACGGGAGGCUCCAGUGGGGAAUAUUGGACAAUGGGCGAAAGCCUGAUCCAGCCAUGCCGCGUGUGUGAAGAAGGCCUUCGGGUUGUAAAGCACUUUCAGUGGGGAAGAAAGCCUUGGGGCUAAUACCCUCGAGGAAGGACAUCACCCACAGAAGAAGCACCGGCUAACUCCGUGCCAGCAGCCGCGGUAAUACGGAGGGUGCGAGCGUUAAUCGGAAUUACUGGGCGUAAAGCGCGCGUAGGCGGUCUGAUAAGCCGGUUGUGAAAGCCCCGGGCUCAACCUGGGAACGGCAUCCGGAACUGUCAGGCUAGAGUGCAGGAGAGGAAGGUAGAAUUCCCGGUGUAGCGGUGAAAUGCGUAGAGAUCGGGAGGAAUACCAGCGGCGAAGGCGGCCUUCUGGACUGACACUGACGCUGAGGUGCGAAAGCGUGGGUAGCAAACAGGAUUAGAUACCCGGGUAGUC
This 465-nucleotide ribosomal RNA is filed under the name Vreelandella stevensii. RNAcentral describes it as "partial 16S ribosomal RNA". It matches the Rfam family "Bacterial small subunit ribosomal RNA", at positions 338 to 795 of the family's 1533-position model. The record is from RNAcentral. Lineage: Bacteria; Pseudomonadati; Pseudomonadota; Gammaproteobacteria; Oceanospirillales; Halomonadaceae.